AAUGGUUAUGUGAUAUAUAUUUGAAAGAUGAUAGUGAGUUAGUGGGAUAGUACGCCACUUGUAACAAGACUUGCCAUUGCUGUGAGCUGUUACAAAAGGAGCUGGAAACAGCUUCGAACUCUCCUAGCUGAAUUGCAUCAUUUAAUAGGCACUUGGUGGGGAUGUUAGCACUCAGCUUUGCUGCUUAAAUAAUCUCUAUCUUCCUUUCCUUUGGAGUCUCACCAUUCCCCAAUGUCGGUAACGUGUGGCAUGUAUGCUUCUUGCGAGCUGGAUUGUACAGGCGGUGGCUCCGAUGACCUGGAGUCACGGGUAAUGAUGAUAAGGAGAGCUGGCUUUUCUCUCCUCGUGACUAGCUGAGUUUGGCUCUUCUAAUGUCAUGGCAUGUUUAUUUUGUACGGGCCAUACUAAUCCUUGAGGGCAGCUUUACAUUCACAAUCACAAGCAGAGAUUGUGUGCUCAACUGGCUAAUGCAUAAUUUACUUGUAAUGGGAAUGGCUGAACUCCCUAAUAUGCCCCAGAGAAUUCUUGGAGAGUUUACACAAGUGCUAUUGAAUUUCGCUCAGAGGCUGCAAUUAGUGAAAAGAAGCAUGCGUUCCGUCAAAAGUGACUAGUGAUUAGAGUGCAGGAUGGACUGAUUACUUAUGGCAUGCUUUUUAGCAUUUUAUGGGUUGGAAAUUGGACCAUGCUUGGCAUGGAGCUGAUCAGGAAUCUUGUGUGAGUAUCACGCAAGUUCUAAUUCCUCAUUGGUAUUUACAUUCAGUUACCUCUGCAGGAGUUUGGGUUGUACAACUGAAAUUGAGGUUGGAAUGAAAACUGGCUACCUAUGGGUGGGGUUUGUUGUCUUCUCAAGGUGAAGGAUGAAACAGGGCAGGCAGCGGAGUGGUGUGUAAAGUGAUGCACUCCCCCUGCUGCUUACAGGGCCUCUGUGUGCUCGCCAUGUGUGGCCUGAAGAUUCACAAACCCAUCACAAGUGGGUUGACACAAAAUACUGAAGAAACUCAGCGGGUCAGGCAGCAUCUCUGGAGAAAAUGAAGUGGCGACGUUUCAGGUCGAGACCCUUCUUCAGACUGAAAGGAGAGAGGGAAACGAGAGGUCAGAUGAUCAGCUGCUCCUGAUUGAGCCAAAGACUAAGCGGAAGCUGAGAGGGGACCGUGCCUUUGCUGUGUCGGCUCCGAGAUUGUGGAAUGAAUUGCCUCUGCACGUUAAACAGGCCCCUUCUCUAGCUGUUUUUAAGUCACUCCUGAAGACAUAUCUAUUCUCCAUGGCCUUUGUAGACCAGUGAGGUGUUGAAUUGUUUAUUAAUUUUAUUUGCUUGGUUUUGCUGCGUUGUUCGUACUCGUGUUUUAUGUUUUUUUAAUUUAUUGUUUGGAUUUUUGUAUGUAAUGUAUGCGCCUCGUGUUAGUUGUAUGUUCUGUUGUUCUGCCUGUUUUAUGAUGUCUUGCUUGUUUUCUUUUUUCUGUACAGCACUUUGGCCAGCUUUGGUUGUUUUUAAGGUGCUUAACAAAUAAAGUUAUUAUUAUUAUUAUUAUUAUGGUUUAUUGACGCCUACAUAAUCCAGGCAAGCACUAUAAUGGAUAAACACCCUUUAUAAUUUGAUUGAAAUGAAGAGCUUGUCAUGUAAGGAUGAUGGCCAAUGGGCCCAUAUUCAACAUAAUUAAGUACAGUUUAUUGCAAUGUGUUCCUCCCUUAUUUGUAAUUGCAAGCUUUAAAUAAAAGAGAAUCAGUAACAUAAAUACCAACAAUACCACAGUUGUUUCAUACAGACACCACCUUUAACAAAAGAAAUACUCUUUGGUUCAAUCAUCUUUAUCUACCAUCUGAGCCCAGGGAUUAAAUUGCUGACUUGGAGUUUCGUCAGUACAUCUGCUGUCUGUGCAAUGUAUGAUUUGGACAGGGAUGGGGAUAAUUAUCACGACAGAUACUGGCCAGUGUGGAUUGUGUAGUCUUUGGUGAUGUGAUUCACACUGAAGAAUAAAUAACUGCAGAGUAAUCAUUGUCUAUUAAAUGGUAAACAAAUGUUAUUAGCCAGUUAUCAAAAUCAGAA
This is a long non-coding RNA of Leucoraja erinaceus (little skate), 2044 nucleotides long. RefSeq lists it as uncharacterized. Lineage: Eukaryota; Metazoa; Chordata; Chondrichthyes; Rajiformes; Rajidae. The transcript has 2 exons. The record is from RefSeq and is a predicted model, not a curated record.